GUGCGAAAGGAUUUUGGCCAAUCCUCUCCUCGCGCGCGGCAUGCUUCCAGUCGUGGAACCCUAGACCCCUUUCCCCAAUCCCACGGCCGCCUCCAUCCUCCCGUGCUCCACCCCGAGCGGGCUCCGCCUCCUCCUCCUCCUCCACCAUCCCUUCUCCUGUCGCAGCCGCAUUGGGGAGGCCAGGUUUUCUCGCUGGGGGGGAGGAGCUGUGGACGGCCAGCAGGCCAGCGGCGGGAGGCAGCCAGGCCGGCCUGCCGUCUCUCCCCCGGAACUGGCCAGCGGCCGAAUUUCUGGCUGGGAUGAGGAGUUUGUCCUCCCUGCAAUGCUCGUCAUCGAGGACAGCCUGGUCUGCAAAUCGCGGCCCUCCUAUGCCGGGCUACACGACGGGUCUUACCGAACAGCGCUGGCCAGCAGCAGGUGCUAACCUUCGGUUUACCACUUGUCGCUUUGGUCUGACAGGAUGCUAGCAGUUGUAGUUCUGCUCAUUUGGAGGACACAUAUGGCAAACUGUGACAUCAUGAUAGCAGUUGCUCAGAGUGAUUGUUCCCAAUUAUUCUACAUUUUAAUUGUAUCGACUGGGCGACAGCGAGCGCCGGUGAGUGCAAGCAUGUGUCUCUAGAAGCGUCCUCUCCUACAAGGCAGGCAAGGACGACGUCAUCGCCCUCAUAGGUCCUCCUCCCAUCCCUUUUGCUCCCCCUGCCUCCUCACCUUGCCUUUGAGUCGGAUGCAAUGUAAGAUAGCCCGCAGGCAAGCUCAAGCUGGAGGCGAUGAAAUCCCUCUCUUGUGCCAGAAUCUAACUUCUUAUUUGUGCAGUGUUCUUUUGCUUCUAUGUACUGUUUUUGCUCUGACCAGAUCGUUCCCAUUUGUUUGGAGGUUCUACGAUCUGUUGCAUCUCUGUUCUUCUCGUUAAGGUUAGCUGCUCUAUUUCCUAGGUACACGUGUAUUAUCGUUUAUGUCGGUGCUAUCAUGGUGCUUGGUCUGCUGAUCAUUUUAAUGUUCUGGAUCUGGGGUGUGGCUGCAAGAGAGGGGAGGCAGCCAAUGACAGGGAGAAGGAGCAGGACGUCGAGGAGUGCAAGUAGAAGGCAAACACAUCGAGACAUUGGAAGAAAUAGACGUGUUGUACAAGGAGUGGGCUUUACAGUCUGGUAUUAAGCACCGGGUAGGAGUUCCUUCUUUUGGUGGUGAGCUCAUGUUCAUUUCAGAUCCGGUGGAUAUUACGGAAAUCCUGCCUUAUGUUUGCACAAUUGGCAGUUUCCAACCUUAGAGGCUCGGCAGGUUGGUUGGAUCUGUUGUAUGAGGUAGGCUUCAGGCCAACGGAAGAUGAUUUACCGGAUGACUGCCACCACAGUUUUUCGGGGUUCCGUGUGCACCUGUGACAUUCUGUAUAAAUUUGGAGGCCACAGGUGACAAUUGCUACAUCUAUUGUGUUCUGUCACCGUUUUUACCUUCGUCAGUCUCAUGCAACAAAUGAUAGACGAUCCAAUAGAAGUUGGCGCUGAAGCUAGCAGCAGACUCUGUAGAUGUCAAAACAACUUGUACUUUUGUGAACUGCAGGGGGUGGUUAUAAAAAGUAGGUAUUUUCUAUGAGGAUAAGAUGCACAGAUGUACACCCUCUUGGUGUGAUGUGGGGAUUUUAGUUUAGAAGAGCCUGAGACCUUGUUACUAAAUAGCAGUUCACAGAUGGGCACACCAUUUUAUCAAUUAUGCAGGGUUGAGGGUUUAUCAUGAAUAUUUUGGCUGGUACAGCUCUCAAACACCCAGCAGAGUUGAUUUAGGCCCAGUUACUCUUAAAUUAUUGAACGUGAAAGCAUUUGAAAAUCACCCUAUCCAUGAAGUAGUACCAAGCGUGUUUACUGAAAUAGGAGUGCAUGUGAUUUCUUGUGUUCUUAUCUGCAGCAGAAGUGGUAAUGGUGUGAUUUUCCUCUAUGUCUUGACAGAAUAUUAGUACUCUACACUAUUUGUUAUGCAGUUAUUCUUAUUUUUUCAUGGCGAAUGGGCAAAUGAAGUCUGAAUCUAACAUAUAUACAGACAAUCGCUACUGUCUGCAUGUUCUUGGCUAGAAGAGUCGAAGAAACACCUAGGCCUUUGAAGGAUGUCAUCCUGGUUUCUUACGAGCUUAUUUAAAAAGGAUCCUGCUGCUGGUCAGAAAAUCAAGCAGAGGGUAAUGUAAUGGAUCCAAUUUGAUGCUUCUUUUGCUAUGGAUUGUUCUUUGGUGAACCUUUUUCCCUUUAAAAAAGUUGUAGCAUGUCCAUGACCUGAUCUCACCCUAUAAAUCUUGUUGUUCUUAUACAAUAAUAGAAAAUAACUUCAGAAAUAUAGCCAGUAGAAGGCUGGCUAUUUCUAUCAGAAUCCUAACCUUUUCUCAUCAGUAUAUCAUUUAUUUUGGAAUUAUUUUGAUUGCAUCAUCUGCUUAAAAGUUUACAGAGACUGAUAAUGAUCUAGAAUAAAACUAUAUUCUAACCUACGAGGAGGCUCGACACGUCUUCUAACCCGCAAUAGACUGUAUAGGCAGCGGGAGCGCCGGUCCCACUGCCGGUCCAGACCAUGGGCACAGCAUGGUCGAGCUACAACGAGUGCAUCUAAUUCCAACUCAUCAAAGUGAGCUCCCUCUUUUAUUCUUCUGAGGCAAUGAGGCAUCAGUGUAGGCCCAAUCUUUUUGUUUGUUGCUUUGAAGAGUGUUGUCAUGUUGUGGAAAGGCGACAUGUGCUUGAUAGUUGGAGUUGGUGUUGAGCCUGGCGGUAGUAGACAGGGAAGGCACCCAUCUCACUUGAUCUUGAGAGUUGAUUCAUAUCUUUUUUUCUUGACCUGAUUGAGUUCCUGUAUAUGCAAGGAUAAAGAAGAAGGGGCAUUGUUGUGGUUGUUGCUUAAGGUGUUGGUCAGGAGCUGAUUGCCGGGGCUGAUGACAAGAACGGAGAGCAGGAUGAGUAUGUCAACAUGAUGUUCCUUGACGUUGGCCUUCUUUUAUAAAGUUCACAUGCAACUCUCAUCCAUGGUUAGAAAAAGCUAAUUUAAACGUUUUGUUUCUUUGAUGGUUACUCAUUUCUCUUACCGUUGUUGUAUCAAAACAAUUGUAUUUUCGUUGAUGGCCACUUGGGAUCAUUUUCGAGGAGAAUGAGAUGUGGAAUAAACUACUAAUGAGAUGUGGAAUAAACUACUCUGAAAUGGUUGGUUCCCUUCA
Molecule: long non-coding RNA, 3178 nt
Organism: Triticum dicoccoides
Lineage: Eukaryota; Viridiplantae; Streptophyta; Magnoliopsida; Poales; Poaceae
Exons: 8
Source: RefSeq, a predicted model, not a curated record